GUAGGAAAGCAGAUUUGAGACGAAUUUUUAAAAAUUUGAGUAUGAGCUCAACUAUCGAAACUAAAAUCUACAUAUGAGCCCAAACUUAUCGGGUCCUGACAAUCUUUAAUCAAAAUCAAUUCCACGAUAAAACUGAAGUUCUCAAAAUACGAAUUCAAAAGCAAUCAUUUCUCUUUACCAAACUUAAAAUAUAUCAUAUAUUCAAAUCUAAAUUUCAGAGUAUAAAUUUAAUUUUUUAUAUAUUAUUUUAGUAUAAAAUCGAUUCGGCUUUGGUUCCGGUUCGGAUUUCGGUUCAGAUUGGAUAUAGAUAAAAAUUAUAUCUAAAUUUGAAUCUGUCAUGUUUUUAUUUUUUUAUACUCGUAAUCGAAAUCAAUUUUGUUAAUCAUCUAUUAAAUCUAUUCAUUUAAAGAUCAAAUUUGGAUAAAAUUUUGGAUAUCCAUAUCAGUCGAUGUUCCUACGAAGUUAGAUUCGGGUCGGGUCUAGACUCUAGAGACCCUCCAAACCAAAUUUAAAACUUUUGAAUCCUGCGUU
Molecule: long non-coding RNA, 531 nt
Filed under: Ananas comosus (pineapple)
Lineage: Eukaryota; Viridiplantae; Streptophyta; Magnoliopsida; Poales; Bromeliaceae
Description: long non-coding RNA (ACOM_LNC011260)
Source: RNAcentral